UGUGAGGCUGAUGUGUAGGCAAAUCCGCACAUCAUUAAGGCUGGGCUGUGAUGGGGAGCGAAAAUUGCAGUAGCGAAGGUCAUGAGUUCAGGCUGCCAAGAAAAGCCUCUAGCCAGGUGAAGGUGCCCGUACCGCAAACCGACACAGGUAGGCGAGCAGAGUAUGCUAAGGCGCUCGGAAGAACUCUCGUUAAGGAACUCGGCAAAAUGACCCCGUAACUUCGGGAGAAGGGGUGCCUCGGUAGGGUGAAUAGCCCGAGGGGGCCGCAGUGAAAAGGCCCAAGCGACUGUUUAGCAAAAACACAGGUCUGUGCGAAGCCGUAAGGCGAAGUAUACGGGCUGACGCCUGCCCGGUGCUGGAAGGUUAAGGGGAGUGGUUAGCCGCAAGGCGAAGCUAUGAACCGAAGCCCCAGUAAACGGCGGCCGUAACGAUAACGGUCCUAAGGUAGCGAAAUUCCUUGUCAGGUAAAUUCUGACCCGCACGAAUGGCGUAACGACUUGGGCGCUGUCUCAACGAGAGAUCCGGUGAAAUUUUAAUACCUGUGAAGAUGCAGGUUACCCGCGACAAGACGGAAAGACCCCAUGGAGCUUUACUGCAGCUUGAUAUUGGACUUUGGUACGAUCUGUACAGGAUAGGUGGGAGCCUUGGAAGCCGGAGCGCCAGCUUCGGCGGAGGCAUCGUUGGGAUACCACCCUGAUCGUAUCGGAGUUCUAACCUGGUACCGUGAUCCGGUACAGGGACCGUGUCAGGUGGGCAGUUUGACUGGGGCGGUCGCCUCCUAAAAUGUAACGGAGGCGCCCAAAGGUUCCCUCAGAAUGGUUGGAAAUCAUUCGUAGCGUGCAAAGGCAUAAGGGAGCUUGACUGCGAGACCUACAAGUCGAGCAGGGACGAAAGUCGGGCUUAGUGAUCCGGUGGUACCGCAUGGAAGGGCCAUCGCUCAACGGAUAAAAGCUACCCUGGGGAUAACAGGCUUAUCUCCCCCAAGAGUCCACAUCGACGGGGAGGUUUGGCACCUCGAUGUCGGCCCAUUAAAGCGUACGCGAGCUGGGUUCAGAACGUCGUGAGACAGUUCGGUCCCUAUCUGUCGUGGGCGUAGGAAAUUUGAGAGGAGCUGUCCUUAGUACGAGAGGACCGGGAUGGACGCACCGCUGGUGUACCAGUUGUUCCGCCAGGAGCAUAGCUGGGUAGCUACGUGCGGACGGGAUAAGCGCUGAAAGCAUCUAAGCGUGAAGCCCCCCUCAAGAUGAGAUUUCCCAGUAUGUAAGACCCCUGGAAGACGACCAGGUUGAUAGGUUCGAGGUGGAAGCGCAGCAAUGCGUGGAGCUGACGAAUACUAAUCGGUCGAGGGCUUAUCCA
Molecule: ribosomal RNA, 1356 nt
Filed under: metagenome
Description: bacterial LSU rRNA
Rfam family: Bacterial large subunit ribosomal RNA
Source: RNAcentral